This 503-nucleotide ribosomal RNA is filed under the name uncultured bacterium. RNAcentral's name for it is "bacterial SSU rRNA". It matches the Rfam family "Bacterial small subunit ribosomal RNA", at positions 284 to 793 of the family's 1533-position model. The record is from RNAcentral.
UAUCCCCCUGUGUGCCUUGUCCCUACGACUAGCAGAGGACUCCUACGGGAGGCAGCAGUGGGGAAUAUUGCACAAUGGGCGCAAGCCUGAUGCAGCCAUGCCGCGUGUAUGAAGAAGGCCUUCGGGUUGUAAAGUACUUUCAGCAGUGAGGAAGGUGGGUAUGUUAAUAGCAUACUCAUUUGACGUUAGCUGCAGAAGAAGCACCGGCUAACUCCGUGCCAGCAGCCGCGGUAAUACGGAGGGUGCGAGCGUUAAUCGGAAUUACUGGGCGUAAAGCGCAUGCAGGUGGUUUGUUAAGUCAGAUGUGAAAGCCCGGGGCUCAACCUCGGAAUUGCAUUUGAAACUGGCAAACUAGAGUACUGUAGAGGGGGUAGAAUUUCAGGUGUAGCGGUGAAAUGCGUAGAGAUCUGAAGGAAUACCGGUGGCGAAGGCGGCCCCCUGGACAGAUACUGACACUCAGAUGCGAAAGCGUGGGGAGCAAACAGGAUUAGAUACCCUGGUAG